AUUUAUUAUAAAAUUUAAAUAUAAAUAAUAUGUAUUAAUAUAGUACAAUUAAUAAUUUUAUAAUAAAAAUAUUAUAAUUUUAUAUUAACAUAUUAUAUUUAUAUAAUUUAAUUUUAAUUCAAUUUAUAAUUUUAAUUAAACUUUAAAUUAAGUAUUGGAAUAGCACUAUUCCACCAAAAUGAUGGAAUAGCAAAUUCCUUACUAUUCCGGAAUAACCGGAGGUAGCAAGGUUUGACCGGGAUAAAAAUAUCCCAAUAAAACAUCACUCCGUUUGGUGGAAUAGUGGAAAUAACUUUCGUUAUCCCCGCUUAUCCUCCGAACCAAACGGGACCUAAGAGUAGACUUCAAACACAACAAUUUAUUCGACUCAUUCCUAACUUAAAACAGAAAUGUUCUCAAACCACAGCAAGUCAUUACAUCCAAAGCAGGAUAGAGGAUGUGACUAUUCUCAGCAACAGAAUAACUAGCAAACAAGUCCGUC
This 481-nucleotide long non-coding RNA is filed under the name Ananas comosus (pineapple). RNAcentral's name for it is "long non-coding RNA (ACOM_LNC026283)". The record is from RNAcentral. Lineage: Eukaryota; Viridiplantae; Streptophyta; Magnoliopsida; Poales; Bromeliaceae.